RNAcentral lists this ribosomal RNA (240 nucleotides) under uncultured bacterium. Its description in RNAcentral is "partial 16S ribosomal RNA". It matches the Rfam family "Bacterial small subunit ribosomal RNA", at positions 15 to 244 of the family's 1533-position model. The record is from RNAcentral.
GAUCCUGGCUCGGGAUGAGCGCUAGCGACAGGCCUAACACAUGCAAGUCGAGGGGCAGCGGAGAGGUAGCAAUACCUUUGCCGGCGACCGGCGCACGGGUGAGUAACACGUAUGCAAUCCACCUGUAACAGGGGGAUAACCCGGAGAAAUCCGGACUAAUACCCCAUAAUAUGGGCUAUCCGCAUGGAGGGUCCAUUAAAGAGAGCAAUUUUGGUUACAGACGAGCAUGCGCUCCAUUAG